Molecule: ribosomal RNA, 279 nt
Filed under: uncultured bacterium
Lineage: Bacteria
Description: partial 16S ribosomal RNA
Rfam family: Bacterial small subunit ribosomal RNA
Source: RNAcentral
UGCCAGCAGCCGCGGUAAUACGAAUGGAGCAAGCGUUGUUCGGAAUCACUGGGCUUAAAGCGUAUGUAGGCGGACUUGAAAGUCAGGAGUGAAAUCCCAGGGCUCAACCCUGGAACUGCUCUUGAAACUCCAAGUCUAGAAUACUGGAGAGGUUGGGAGAAUUCCGAGUGUAGAGGUGAAAUUCGCAGAUAUUCGGAGGAAUACCAGUGGCGUAGGCGCCCAACUGGACAGUUAUUGACGCUCAGAUACGAAAGCGUGGGGAGCAAACAGGAUUAGAUA